RNAcentral lists this non-coding RNA (28 nucleotides) under Mus musculus (house mouse). Lineage: Eukaryota; Metazoa; Chordata; Mammalia; Rodentia; Muridae. The record is from RNAcentral.
UCCUGAGAGAACAUUUCCCUGCCCUCAC